ACCCUUGUCCUUAUUUGCCAGCACGUAAUGGUGGGAACUCUAAGGAGACUGCCGGUGACAAACCGGAGGAAGGUGGGGACGACGUCAAGUCAUCAUGGCCCUUACGGGUAGGGCUACACACGUGCUACAAUGGCCGGUACAAAGGGCUGCGAGAUCGCGAGAUGGAGCGAAUCCCAGAAAGCCGGCCUCAGUUCGGAUCGGAGUCUGCAACUCGACUCCGUGAAGUCGGAAUCGCUAGUAAUCGUGAAUCAGAAUGUCACGGUGAAUACGUUCCCGGGCCUUGUACACACCGCCCGUCACACCAUGGGAGUGGACUGCACCAGAAGUGGUUAGCUUAACCUUCGGGAGAGCGAUCACCACGGUGUGGUUCAUGACUGGGGUGAAGUCGUAACAAGGUAGCCGUAGGGGAACCUGCGGCUGGAUCACCUCCUUAAACGACCAGCUUA
Molecule: ribosomal RNA, 446 nt
Filed under: Salinicola sp. MH3R3-1
Lineage: Bacteria; Pseudomonadati; Pseudomonadota; Gammaproteobacteria; Oceanospirillales; Halomonadaceae
Description: bacterial SSU rRNA
Rfam family: Bacterial small subunit ribosomal RNA
Source: RNAcentral